This is a non-coding RNA of Dermacentor albipictus, 344 nucleotides long. NCBI's taxonomy places the organism in Eukaryota, Metazoa, Arthropoda, Arachnida, Ixodida, Ixodidae. The record is from RefSeq and is a predicted model, not a curated record.
UCGUACUUUGCAGUCAUUGGCGACGCCGUGACGGUGAAUGUGAAAAACUGCGUCACGGACAUCACGCCGGCGCUCAGCACAUCGCAGGUCGCCAUCGUGGCUAUCCUGGCGACCAUUCUCAGCCUCAUGUUGGCCGCUACCUUUGUGGACGCGUACGCAUCCGAUGACGCAAAGAAGAACGUGGCCGUGAAUGUCCUGAUGUGCUUCUCCAUGCCGGCCAACCUGAGGCUGCUGGCGUCCACGCCCGAGAAGACGUCGAGCGCUUACAACCUGCGCUUCCUGCACGGCAUCCGUGCCGUCAGCAUCUACUACAUCGUCUUUGGGCACUCUACAACAGAGCUGGC